Molecule: small RNA, 520 nt
Filed under: uncultured Entrophospora
Lineage: Eukaryota; Fungi; Glomeromycota; Glomeromycetes; Entrophosporales; Entrophosporaceae
Description: SSU rRNA
Rfam family: Eukaryotic small subunit ribosomal RNA
Source: RNAcentral
AGCAGCCGCGGUAAUUCCAGCUCCAAUAGCGUAUAUUAAAGUUGUUGCAGUUAAAAAGCUCGUAGUUGAAUUUCGGGAUUGACACAUCGGUCGUGCCUUAAGGGGUAUGAACUGGUGUAGUCAAUUUCUCACCUUCUGGAGAACCGCGAUGCCCUUAAUUGGGUGUCACGGGGAACCAGGACCUUUACCUUGAAAAAAUUAGAGUGUUUAAAGCAGGCAUUUUGCUUGAAUACAUUAGCAUGGAAUAAUAAAAUAGGACGGCAUGAUUCUAUUUUGUUGGUUUCUAGGAUCACCGUAAUGAUUAAUAGGGAUAGUUGGGGGCAUUAGUAUUCAAUUGUCAGAGGUGAAAUUCUUGGAUUUAUUGAAGACUAACUACUGCGAAAGCAUUUGCCAAGGAUGUUUUCAUUAAUCAAGAACGAAAGUUAGGGGAUCGAAGACGAUCAGAUACCGUCGUAGUCUUAACCAUAAACUAUGCCGACUAGGGAUCAGACGAUGUUAAUUUUUUAAUGACUCGUUUGGC